UAUCCAUCAACUAGAGACUCUGACAGCUGCCAACAUCUUUAAGAUGACAGUAUGAUGGCCAAGUUGGAUCAAGAUGGGGCAAUGUAAGCAGGGAUCUGUAUUAAAGAUGAAGGGAAAAAAUGAUGAAACUGGCAACUUUUGAGGUUGCUGGUUGUCAUUUUCAUUACUUUGAUUUUGCUUAGUGUACCAGAAAAUCAGCAACAUAAAUCAGAUGUCACGCAAGACCAGCACCAUCAAUUGAAGCUGAAAAUGAACAUCCACGUGCCCCC
Molecule: long non-coding RNA, 269 nt
Organism: Dermochelys coriacea (leatherback sea turtle)
Lineage: Eukaryota; Metazoa; Chordata; Testudines; Dermochelyidae
Exons: 2
Source: RefSeq, a predicted model, not a curated record